CCCUUAGAUGUUCUGGGCUGCACGCGCGCUACACUGACGCACGCAAAAGGUGCCUGCUCCGAGAGGACUGGGUAAUCAUUUGAGUGUGCGUCGUGAUGGGGAUAGAAUAUUGUAAUUAUUACUCUUCAACGAGGAAUUCCUAGUAAGCGCCAGUCAGCAGCUUGCGCUGAUUACGUCCCUGCCCUUUGUACACACCGCCCGUCGCUCCUACCGAUGGGUGAUCCGGUGAAUGAUUCGGACUUCAGCGGCUCCCCUGGGGUGCGCCGGAGAAAGUUUUGUGAACCUUAUCACUUGGAGGAAGGAGAAGUCGUAACA
RNAcentral lists this ribosomal RNA (315 nucleotides) under uncultured eukaryote. Its description in RNAcentral is "partial 18S ribosomal RNA". It matches the Rfam family "Eukaryotic small subunit ribosomal RNA", at positions 1470 to 1796 of the family's 1831-position model. The record is from RNAcentral.